Long non-coding RNA from Patella vulgata (common limpet), 654 nucleotides. RefSeq lists it as uncharacterized. The record is from RefSeq and is a predicted model, not a curated record. Lineage: Eukaryota; Metazoa; Mollusca; Gastropoda; Patellidae. The transcript is spliced from 5 exons.
GAUAUAUGAUAUUAAACAGUUAAUAAAGUCAAUAUACAUCCUGAAUUAUCAUCUAUCAAGAUGGCGAAAAUUGGAUUUAUAUUUAUUAUCUCUCUUGUAAUGGGCACAGUCUGCGGUUACAGAAGUAAUCAGAAUUUUUCUCAACCAGAAGUGAUAACAACUCCAAAUUUCCCAUUGCCCUAUCCGUCUGACGCGAGUUUAAGUUGGGCGUGGUCUAAGCCGACAGGAAGAUGGGCGGUUUUGUUUGAAGAAUUUGACAUACAUUGUAUGGAUACAUUAUACCUGAAAGACGACUCAGCUGGUAAACAACUACCUUUUGACUGUAAUCAAAAGCAAACAAAGACAACAGCUUAUUAUACUAAAGGACCGAGUCUUAUAAUACGAUUUACUUCAUCUCAUGAGUCUAAAGCCCAGAAAGGAUUCAAAAUAAGGGUCUUGUAUGGCAGAGAUAAAGAUGAUCUGAAAAGUCAAGUUUAUGAACUUAAAAACGGAAAUAAAGACGGCGACGGUGAUCACGUUUACACCCUCCUUUACGUGGUGUUGGCUCUGGUUGCCUUCGUUGGCAUAGUAGUAGAAGUAAUUAUCAUCAAGCGACAAAGGAGACGAGGUAAUCAAACGGUGACCGUGUCGACGUCGGAUUCAAUAGAAACAACU